Molecule: transfer RNA, 72 nt
Filed under: Camelus bactrianus (Bactrian camel)
Lineage: Eukaryota; Metazoa; Chordata; Mammalia; Artiodactyla; Camelidae
Also listed under: 2 other names
Rfam family: tRNA
About the family: Transfer RNA (tRNA) molecules are approximately 80 nucleotides in length. Their secondary structure includes four short double-helical elements and three loops (D, anti-codon, and T loops).
Source: Rfam by way of RNAcentral
GGGGGUACAGCUCAGUGGGAGAGUGCGGGCUUGGUGUGCACGAAGUCCUGGGUUCAAUCCCCAGUGCUUCUG